GGCAACAGAAGCAGGAGUGUCACUGGCUGCCAGAUCACUGAGGGUCCCACAAUGUGGCCCGGGCUGUGAUUUACCUGGGUGAGACAGCUUGAGUCCCCAUCCUGGAUUCUAAGACAUCCCUGCUGAGAGAGCCCAGGUGCAAUGUAGCAGGACAACUCAUGGAGCCCCCCCGGGCCCAUCGAGUACCAGACUGGCUGACCCCGUAGGGUUGGC
Molecule: long non-coding RNA, 213 nt
Filed under: Macaca fascicularis (crab-eating macaque)
Lineage: Eukaryota; Metazoa; Chordata; Mammalia; Primates; Cercopithecidae
Description: lncRNA (ENSMFAG00000062283.1)
Source: RNAcentral